RNAcentral lists this ribosomal RNA (253 nucleotides) under uncultured bacterium. RNAcentral describes it as "partial 16S ribosomal RNA". It matches the Rfam family "Bacterial small subunit ribosomal RNA", at positions 524 to 776 of the family's 1533-position model. The record is from RNAcentral.
UACGUAGGGGGCAAGCGUUGUCCGGAAUCAUUGGGCGUAAAGAGCGUGUAGGCGGCCAGAAAAGUCCGCUGUGAAAACUCGAGGCUCAACUUCGAGCUGUCGGUGGAAACUUUCUGGCUAGAGUCCGGAAGAGGAGAAUGGAAUUCCUGGUGUAGCGGUGAAAUGCGCAGAUAUCAGGAAGAACACCCGUGGCGAAAGCGGCUCACUGGACCACAACUGACGCUGAUGCACGAAAGCUAGGGGAGCAAACAGG